RNAcentral lists this ribosomal RNA (425 nucleotides) under uncultured bacterium. RNAcentral's name for it is "partial 16S ribosomal RNA". It matches the Rfam family "Bacterial small subunit ribosomal RNA", at positions 354 to 796 of the family's 1533-position model. The record is from RNAcentral.
GUUAGGAAUAUUGGACAAUGGGCGAAAGCCUGAUCCAGCCAUGCCGCGUGAACGAUGAAGGCCUUCGGGUUGUAAAGUUCUUUAGCCGAUGAUUAUAAUGACUGUAGUCGGAAAAUAAGCCCCGGCUAACUUCGUGCCAGCAGCCGCGGUAAUACGAAGGGGGCGAGCGUUAUUCGGAAUCACUGGGCGUAAAGCGUGCGUAGGCGGUUUUGUAAGUUAGGAGUGAAAGCCCAGGGCUCAACCUUGGAAUUGCUCUUAAAACUGCAAGGCUCGAAUCUCGGAGAGGAUAGCGGAAUUUCCAGUGUAGCAGUGAAAUGCGUAGAUAUUGGAAGGAACACCAGUGGCGUAAGCGGCUAUCUGGACGAGUAUUGACGCUGAGGCACGAAAGCGUGGGGAGCAAACAGGAUUAGAUACCCUGGUAGUCC